This 253-nucleotide ribosomal RNA is filed under the name uncultured bacterium. RNAcentral describes it as "partial 16S ribosomal RNA". It matches the Rfam family "Bacterial small subunit ribosomal RNA", at positions 524 to 776 of the family's 1533-position model. The record is from RNAcentral.
UACAGAGGGUGCGAGCGUUAAUCGGAUUUACUGGGCGUAAAGGGCGCGUAGGUGGUUGUGAACGUGUGAUGUGAAAGCCCCGGGCUUAACCUGGGAAGCGCAUCGCAAACGACAUAACUGGAGUAGAUGAGAGGGUGGUGGAAUUUCCGGUGUAGCGGUGAAAUGCGUAGAUAUCGGAAGGAACGUCAAUGGCGAAGGCAGCCACCUGGCAUCAUACUGACACUGAGGCGCGAAAGCGUGGGUAGCGAACAGG